RNAcentral lists this transfer RNA (77 nucleotides) under Aeromonas sobria. RNAcentral's name for it is "tRNA-Met". It matches the Rfam family "tRNA". From Rfam's summary of the family: Transfer RNA (tRNA) molecules are approximately 80 nucleotides in length. Lineage: Bacteria; Pseudomonadati; Pseudomonadota; Gammaproteobacteria; Aeromonadales; Aeromonadaceae. RNAcentral also lists the same sequence under 10 other names. The record is from RNAcentral.
CGCGGGGUGGAGCAGCUCGGUAGCUCGUCGGGCUCAUAACCCGAAGGUCGUUGGUUCAAAUCCAGCCCCCGCAACCA